UGGGGAAUAUUGGACAAUGGGCGCAAGCCUGAUCCAGCCAUGCCGCGUGAGUGAUGAAGGCCCUAUGGUUGUAAAGCUCUUUCACCGGUGAAGAUAAUGACGGUAACCGGAGAAGAAGCCCCGGCUAACUUCGUGCCAGCAGCCGCGGUAAUACGAAGGGGGCUAGCGUUGUUCGGAUUUACUGGGCGUAAAGCGCACGUAGGCGGACUAUUAAGUCAGGGGUGAAAUCCCGGGGCUCAACCCCGGAACUGCCUUUGAUACUGGUAGUCUUGAGUUCGAGAGAGGUGAGUGGAAUUCCGAGUGUAGAGGUGAAAUUCGUAGAUAUUCGGAGGAACACCAGUGGCGAAGGCGGCUCACUGGCUCGAUACUGACGCUGAGGUGCGAAAGCGUGGGGAGCAAACAGG
This 404-nucleotide ribosomal RNA is filed under the name Actinomycetes bacterium. Its description in RNAcentral is "Actinobacteria bacterium partial 16S ribosomal RNA". It matches the Rfam family "Bacterial small subunit ribosomal RNA", at positions 355 to 776 of the family's 1533-position model. Lineage: Bacteria; Bacillati; Actinomycetota; Actinomycetes. The record is from RNAcentral.